This 253-nucleotide ribosomal RNA is filed under the name uncultured bacterium. RNAcentral describes it as "partial 16S ribosomal RNA". It matches the Rfam family "Bacterial small subunit ribosomal RNA", at positions 524 to 776 of the family's 1533-position model. The record is from RNAcentral.
UACGUAGGUGGCAAGCGUUGUCCGGAUUUAUUGGGUUUAAAGGGUGCGUAGGCGGUCUAUUAAGUCAGUGCUGAAAUAUCCCGGCUUAACCGGGAGGGUGGCAUUGAUACUGAUGGACUUGAGUAGAGUCGAGGUAGGCGGAAUUGACGGUGUAGCGGUGAAAUGCUUAGAUAUCGUCAAGAACACCGAUAGUGUAGACAGCUUACUAGGCUCAAACUGACGCUGAGGCACGAAAGUGUGGGGAGCAAACAGG